CUACGGGUGGCUGCAGUGGGGAAUAUUGCACAAUGGACGAAAGUCUGAUGCAGCAACGCCGCGUGGAGGAUGACACAUUUCGGUGCGUAAACUCCUUUUAUAUAGGAAGAUAAUGACGGUACUAUAUGAAUAAGCGCCGGCUAACUCCGUGCCAGCAGCCGCGGUAAUACGGAGGGCGCAAGCGUUACUCGGAAUCACUGGGCGUAAAGAGCGUGUAGGCGGAUAGAUAAGUCAGGAGUGAAAUCCUAUGGCUCAACCAUAGAACUGCUCUUGAAACUGUCUAUCUAGAAUAUGGGAGAGGUAGAUGGAAUUUCUGGUGUAGGGGUAAAAUCCGUAGAGAUCAGAAGGAAUACCGAUUGCGAAGGCGAUCUACUGGAACAUUAUUGACGCUGAGACGCGAAGGCGUGGGGAGCAAACAGGAUUAGAUACCCGUGUAGUC
RNAcentral lists this ribosomal RNA (439 nucleotides) under uncultured bacterium. RNAcentral describes it as "partial 16S ribosomal RNA". It matches the Rfam family "Bacterial small subunit ribosomal RNA", at positions 339 to 795 of the family's 1533-position model. The record is from RNAcentral.